GGAAUAUAAAAAACCGUCUUUUAAUUUUUAACUAAAAAAGUUAAGAACCGAUUCUUAAAUAAGAUAUAAGAACCGAUUUUUAACUUUUUAGUUAAAAGUUAACAGACGGUUUCUUAUAUUCA
Molecule: microRNA precursor, 122 nt
Filed under: Brassica napus (rape)
Lineage: Eukaryota; Viridiplantae; Streptophyta; Magnoliopsida; Brassicales; Brassicaceae
Description: MIR9563 microRNA precursor family
Rfam family: MIR9563 microRNA precursor family
Source: Rfam by way of RNAcentral